ACACAUACAAAAUCUCAUUAGUAAAUUACGCAAGGUGAUUGGCUUCCAGGCCAAAUGACGUAAGGGUGUAUUGUAUGUGGAAUGAUGUCAUUGUUUUGACUCAGCAACAUUUUGGUCAUCCUUAUAAACUGGCGCGCUUAGUGAAUUUUAUUAGUAGCGACACAACAAGUUAUAUACGAAAGAGGUAUUGAAGUUAAAAAGUGGAGUUACCUGAAGAAGACGAAAGAGUUGUGCUCAAUCUGACAGCUAGAAAAGAGGUAAGUUGAACUGGUAUGUUAUAGUUUAAAGAUAAAGAGCAGAGCCCAGCAAAUAACAUUAAAACCAAACAUAAUAAAAGUUAACAUUUUUAUUAGCUAACGUUUCGUUGUUUACAAUACAACAUCUUCAGAGCAAU
Molecule: non-coding RNA, 394 nt
Organism: Paramuricea clavata
Lineage: Eukaryota; Metazoa; Cnidaria; Anthozoa; Malacalcyonacea; Plexauridae
Source: the annotation of a GenBank genome assembly